AGCGAACGCUGGCGGCAGGCUUAACACGUGCAAGUCGAGCGGGCCCUUCGGGGUCAGCGGCGGACGGGUGAGUAACGCGUGGGAGCGCGCCUUCUGGUCUGGAAUAACCCUGGGAAACUAGGGCUAAUACCGGAUACGCCCUUUUGGGGAAAGGUUUACUGCCGGAAGAUCGGCCCGCGUCUGAUUAGCUAGUUGGUGGGGUAACGGCCUACCAAGGCGACGAUCAGUAGCUGGUCUGAGAGGAUGAUCAGCCACACUGGGACUGAGACACGGCCCAGACUCCUACGGGAGGCAGCAGUGGGGAAUAUUGGACAAUGGGCGCAAGCCUGAUCCAGCCAUGCCGCGUGAGUGAUGAAGGCCUUAGGGUUGUAAAGCUCUUUUAUCCGGGACGAUAAUGACGGUACCGGAGGAAUAAGCCCCGGCUAACUUCGUG
RNAcentral lists this ribosomal RNA (433 nucleotides) under uncultured bacterium. RNAcentral describes it as "partial 16S ribosomal RNA". It matches the Rfam family "Bacterial small subunit ribosomal RNA", at positions 29 to 507 of the family's 1533-position model. The record is from RNAcentral.